ACCAGGUGCGGUUGCGCACACCUGUAGCCUCAGCUACUUAGGAGGCUGUGGCAGGAGGAUCGCUUGAGUACAGGAGCUCUGGGCUGUAGUGCACUAUGCUGAUCUGGUGUCUGCACCAAGUUUGGCAUCAAUACGGUGACCUCUUGGGAGCAGAUCAAAACUCCUGUGCUGAUCAGAAGUGGGAUCACGCCUGUGAAUAGCCACUAUACUCUAGUCUGGGCAACAUGGCAAGACUGUUUCCAA
Molecule: signal recognition particle RNA, 243 nt
Filed under: Theropithecus gelada (gelada)
Lineage: Eukaryota; Metazoa; Chordata; Mammalia; Primates; Cercopithecidae
Description: Metazoan signal recognition particle RNA (ENSTGEG00000014373.1)
Rfam family: Metazoan signal recognition particle RNA
About the family: The signal recognition particle (SRP) is a universally conserved ribonucleoprotein. It is involved in the co-translational targeting of proteins to membranes.
Source: RNAcentral